GUGAAGCAAGGAACAGAUGAAAAGGGAACCGGGUGAAAGUCCCGGACAGUCCACGCUGCUGUAAGUCUUUACAGGAUUCGGAGUAACCUCUGUUCCACUGGAUAGAUAAUUAUUCGGGAAGGAACUUCGAACAAGACAAAGUCAGAAGACCUGCCUGGUUACAA
This 164-nucleotide non-coding RNA is filed under the name uncultured Parabacteroides sp. The record is from RNAcentral. Lineage: Bacteria; Pseudomonadati; Bacteroidota; Bacteroidia; Bacteroidales; Tannerellaceae.